RNAcentral lists this long non-coding RNA (687 nucleotides) under Ananas comosus (pineapple). RNAcentral describes it as "long non-coding RNA (ACOM_LNC042077)". Lineage: Eukaryota; Viridiplantae; Streptophyta; Magnoliopsida; Poales; Bromeliaceae. The record is from RNAcentral.
UCCGGAGCGCAUCGCUCGAGGGGGUGCGACCUCCCUCAAGCACGGAACUCAUAGCAAGUAUGAUCGAAUCCUUAACUCUAAGGAUUAUAAGUUCAAUCAUGUCACUACACUAACUCUAGUGUUCUUUACAUCACUUUAUAUUGCUAACUCUAGCAAUCAUUGUUCUUUGCUCUUUACAUGUUCUUUUGCCCCACUUUACAUUAUUCUUUCAUUCUUUAUUCUUAAUGCCACACUUUGCAUUAACUUUAGCCAUUGUCAUUAUCUUUACAUCACAUUGAUUCUUUGCCCCACACUAACUCUAGUGUUCUUUACUUUACAUUAUCAAAUGCCACUCGAUCUAUGUCACAUUGUAUCACUCUGUUCUUUUACCUCACUUGGGUGCUCAUAUUUCCUCUCAUGCAUACACAUAGGGUUUCACAUUUAUAUAGGUUCUCAACCAUCAAUAAGCAAGAUGUACUCACAAGCAUGCCACAUCACAUUCUUUUCAUUACUUUACCCUAAAUGCAUGCAACAAUGUAUGUAACAUAUGCUCAAUUGAAUGACACAUUAGGCAUAGAAGGAAGUUCAAUGAGUUUGGAAAGCACCACCAACCUUGUAGGUUCACUUAGGUGCUCCGAUAAUUUUCUUGGGAUUUUUAGACACCCGGUUCGCUACCUGCAGCAAAACGAAGCCCUAUUAGGCCAUUUU